RNAcentral lists this non-coding RNA (29 nucleotides) under Mus musculus (house mouse). Lineage: Eukaryota; Metazoa; Chordata; Mammalia; Rodentia; Muridae. The record is from RNAcentral.
UAAUAAGCAGUAUACUGUGAAUGCAUGGA